GAAGGGUGCAAGCGUUACUCGGAAUUACUGGGCGUAAAGCGUGCGUAGGUGGUGAGUUAAGUCUGUCGUGAAAGCCCCGGGCUCAACCUGGGAAUGGCGAUGGAUACUGGCUCGCUAGAGUGCGGUAGAGGAGAGUGGAAUUCCCGGUGUAGCAGUGAAAUGCGUAGAGAUCGGGAGGAACAUCAGUUGCGAAGGCGGCUCUCUGGACCAGCACUGACACUGAGGCACGAAAGCGUGGGGAGCAAACAGGAUUAGAUACCCUGGUAGUCCACGCCCUAAACGAUGCGAACUGGACGUUGGGAGCAAUCAGGCUCUCAGUGUCGAAGCUAACGCGUUAAGUUCGCCGCCUGGGGAGUACGGUCGCAAGACUG
RNAcentral lists this ribosomal RNA (371 nucleotides) under uncultured bacterium. RNAcentral's name for it is "bacterial SSU rRNA". It matches the Rfam family "Bacterial small subunit ribosomal RNA", at positions 527 to 896 of the family's 1533-position model. The record is from RNAcentral.